This is a long non-coding RNA of Amphimedon queenslandica, 163 nucleotides long. RefSeq lists it as uncharacterized. Lineage: Eukaryota; Metazoa; Porifera; Demospongiae; Haplosclerida; Niphatidae. The transcript has 3 exons. The record is from RefSeq and is a predicted model, not a curated record.
AGAAAAAUAUAGAAAAUUGAAGACAAAGUAUCGAGAACUAAAAAAAAAGAAUGGCAACUGAUACAAGUAUUGAAGAGAAACCAAAACCAGGUCUUGUGAAAAAAGAAAUAGCAGAACAAUUUGAAAUGAUCGAAAUAAUUCCCUCAUCAAAAGUUUACUGGAC